Molecule: long non-coding RNA, 445 nt
Filed under: Zea mays
Lineage: Eukaryota; Viridiplantae; Streptophyta; Magnoliopsida; Poales; Poaceae
Description: long non-coding RNA (ZMAY_LNC003073)
Source: RNAcentral
AGGUCGAAGAGCGUAGCCUGGUCCACCUUGACGAACUUCGCGUCCCAGCUCUUGAGGUCCUCGCCGCCCUCGGAGGCAGCGGAGUCAGCGGGUUUGGCGGCGGCGUGGACGUGACUGUUGCAGUACUCGAUGACCUUAGAGAGGAUCCUGGAGUUGACGUUGGGGAGCGGGAUGCCGUUGUCGGCGCAGUCGUCCUCGAUCAUGUGGCGGAGAGUCUGCGACUCCAUGGCCACCGCUUCCUCCACCUCGAACUCCUCUAAGUCGGAGCUCCUGAGCGUGAUCAUCCUCUUGUUUUCGCCCUCGGACGCCAUCGAUGGAUCGACGAGAGAUGAGGCGACGAAACCCUAGCUAGUUGCAGCGAUUUGAUCUGUGAUGGUCGAUUGCGAGGGAAACGCCUCUCCUGACUACUUUUCCUUCGAUUCGCCUGCCCUGCCCUCUUUAGUUU